Long non-coding RNA from Rhopalosiphum padi (bird cherry-oat aphid), 817 nucleotides. RefSeq lists it as uncharacterized. The transcript is spliced from 4 exons. NCBI's taxonomy places the organism in Eukaryota, Metazoa, Arthropoda, Insecta, Hemiptera, Aphididae. The record is from RefSeq and is a predicted model, not a curated record.
CAGUAGGUAUUUGCGCAUUUACAGUUCACAAUUUUUAAGUAAUAAUGUCGAAUAUUGAAUAUAUUUCUACACAACCAAAAGGGGAAUGCCUUAUCUUCAAUAACUAUUAUUUUAAAAUUGAUAAAAAAAUAAAAAAUAAAAAAUAUUGGAAGUGUAUUGAAAACUGUGGAGCUCGUUUAAUAAUUUCAGAUUAAUUCACUGUAAAGUUUUUUAAUCAUAACCACAGCCCUCGUCCAGUUAAAAUUGAAGAAAAACGUUUUAAGGCGAAACUUCGUUUGAGAGCAAAAGAAAACCCUCUUGAACCAAUUUCGAAGUCAGCAAGAUACAGUAACUGAAGUAUACAUGUAUUCAGGCCAAUUAGGAGAUUAUUCCUAUAGAUGUUUGGAAAAACAGCUGAAAAUACUGUUCCUACUAACAUAAUUGUUUAUCCGGUAAGGUAGAAGAGUGCAUAUUAUCUGAAUUACUAUAUUCUGGGAAUUGUUUAAUUUUGACCCAUUAAAGUACCAACUAGAUUCUCUUUAAUAACAGAAACAAUGCUGAAGUAGAAAAGCUGUAAAGCAUGUUUACUGCACCAAAAUGUGAUGACACAAAAAUAAAAUAAAAUAAUUAUAAACACAUUAUUGUAAAAUCAAUACAAUACUAUCAACUGAUACUCCAGCAAAAAAGGGUUUCCAGAUAAACUAGGACAUCAAUGUAUAACAUGGACUACUCAAUUAUGUUAACAGUUCUUACAUAUAUUUUGUCAUUACCAGUUUCAGAUGGAUGAAAUAUAAAUAAUGAUUUGAUAAUUUUUUUAAUUAAUUAUGAUUGCAAGGAA